AGGGUUUGAUCAUGGCUCAGGAUGAACGCUAGCGGCAGGCUUAACACAUGCAAGUCGAGGGGUAACAGAGGAGCUUGCUUCUGCUGACGACCGGCGCACGGGUGCGUAACGCGUAUACAAUCUGCCUUGCACUAAGGGAUAGCCCAGAGAAAUUUGGAUUAAUACCUUAUGGUUUAUUAAGAUGGCAUCAUUUUAAUAAUAAAGAUUACGGUGUAAGAUGAGUAUGCGUACCAUUAGUUUGUUGGUAAGGUAACGGCUUACCAAGACUACGAUGGUUAGGGGCCCUGAGAGGGGGAUCCCCCACACUGGUACUGAGACACGGACCAGACUCCUACGGGAGGCAGCAGUGAGGAAUAUUGGACAAUGGAGGAGACUCUGAUCCAGCCAUGCCGCGUGCAGGAAGACGGUCCUAUGGAUUGUAAACUGCUUUUAUACAGGAAGAAUAAGGACUACGUGUAGUCUGGUGACGGUACUGUAAGAAUAAGGACCGGCUAACUCCGUGCCAGCAGCCGCGGUAAUACGGAGGGUCCGAGCGUUAUCCGGAAUUAUUGGGUUUAAAGGGUCCGUAGGCGGGCCAUUAAGUCAGGGGUGAAAGUUUGCAGCUCAACUGUAGAAUUGCCUUUGAUACUGAUGGUCUUGAAUUAUUGUGAAGUGGUUAGAAUAUGUAGUGUAGCGGUGAAAUGCAUAGAUAUUACAUAGAAUACCGAUUGCGAAGGCAGAUCACUAACAAUAUAUUGACGCUGAUGGACGAAAGCGUGGGUAGCGAACAGGAUUAGAUACCCUGGUAGUCCACGCCGUAAACGAUGGAUACUAGCUGUGUGGUUUUCGGACUGCGCGGCCAAGCGAAAGUGAUAAGUACCCCACCUGGGGAGUACGUUCGCAAGAAUGAAACUCAAAGGAAUUGACGGGGGC
This 912-nucleotide ribosomal RNA is filed under the name uncultured Bacteroidota bacterium. RNAcentral describes it as "bacterial SSU rRNA". It matches the Rfam family "Bacterial small subunit ribosomal RNA", at positions 8 to 920 of the family's 1533-position model. The record is from RNAcentral. Lineage: Bacteria; Pseudomonadati; Bacteroidota.